RNAcentral lists this ribosomal RNA (460 nucleotides) under uncultured bacterium. Its description in RNAcentral is "partial 16S ribosomal RNA". It matches the Rfam family "Bacterial small subunit ribosomal RNA", at positions 338 to 795 of the family's 1533-position model. The record is from RNAcentral.
CCUACGGGAGGCAGCAGUGAGGAAUAUUGGUCAAUGGGCGCGAGCCUGAACCAGCCAAGUCGCGUGAGGGAAGACGGUCCUAUGGAUUGUAAACCUCUUUUGUCGGGGAGCAAAAGACGCCACGCGUGGAGUUCCGAGAGUACCCGAAGAAAAAGAAUCGGCUAACUCCGUGCCAGCAGCAGCGGUAAUAAGGAGGAUGCGAGCGUUAUCCGGUUUUAGUGGGUUUAAAGGGUGCGUAGGUUGUUUUUUAAGUCAGCGGUGAAAGUUUGUGGCUCAACCAUAAAAUUGCCGUUGAGACUGGAAGACUUGAGUGUGUUUGAGGUAGGCGGAAUGCGUGGUGUAGCGGUGAAAUGCAUAGAUAUCACGCAGAACUCCGAUUGCGAAGGCAGCUUACUAAGCCAUAACUGACACUGAAGCACGAAAGCGUGGGGAUCAAACAGGAUUAGAUACCCGGGUAGUC